GAUGAACGCUGGCGGCGUGCUUAACACAUGCAAGUCGAACGAAGCACCUUAUUCUGAUUUCUUCGGAAUGAAAAAUUUGGUGACUGAGUGGCGGACGGGUGAGUAACGCGUGGGUAACCUGCCUCGUACAGGGGGAUAACAGUUAGAAAUGACUGCUAAUACCGCAUAAGACCACAGCACCGCAUGGUGCAGGGGUAAAAACUCCGGUGGUAUGAGAUGGACCCGCGUCUGAUUAGGUAGUUGGUGGGGUAACGGCCUACCAAGCCGACGAUCAGGAGCCGACCUGAGAGGGUGGCCGGCCACAUUGGGACUGAGACACGGACCAAACGCCUACGGGAGGCAGCAGUGGGGAAUAUUGCACAAUUGGGGAAACCCUGAUGCAGCGACGCCGCGUGAGCGAUGAAGUAUUUCGGUAUGUAAAGCUCUAUCAGCAGGGAAGAAAAUGACGGUACCUGACUAAGAAGCACCGGCUAAAUACGUGCCAGCCGCCGCGGUAA
This 497-nucleotide ribosomal RNA is filed under the name uncultured bacterium. Its description in RNAcentral is "partial 16S ribosomal RNA". It matches the Rfam family "Bacterial small subunit ribosomal RNA", at positions 28 to 523 of the family's 1533-position model. The record is from RNAcentral.